RNAcentral lists this ribosomal RNA (495 nucleotides) under uncultured bacterium. RNAcentral describes it as "bacterial SSU rRNA". It matches the Rfam family "Bacterial small subunit ribosomal RNA", at positions 29 to 518 of the family's 1533-position model. The record is from RNAcentral.
AUGAACGCUAGCGACAGGCCUAACACAUGCAAGUCAGGGGCAGCACAAGGAGCAAUCUGAGGUGGCGACCGGCGCACGGGUGAGUAACACGUAUGCAACCUGCCUGUAAGCGGGGAAUAACCCGUUGAAAGACGGACUAAUACCGCAUAAUACUAAAUUACUGCAUGGUAAUUUAUUUAAACAUUUAUGGCUUACAGAUGGGCAUGCGCAUGAUUAGCUAGUUGGAGAGGUAACGGCUCCCCAAGGCAACGAUCAUUAGGGGUUCUGAGAGGAAGGUCCCCCACACUGGUACUGAGACACGGACCAGACUCCUACGGGAGGCAGCAGUGAGGAAUAUUGGUCAAUGGACGAGAGUCUGAACCAGCCAAGUCGCGUGCAGGAAGAAUGUCCUAUUGGAUUGUAAACUGCUUUUGCAGGGGGAAUAAAGUGCAUCACGUGUGAUGUUUUGUAUGUACUCUGCGAAUAAGGAUCGGCUAACUCCGUGCCAGCAGCAGC